UUUGUACUUUGUCUGUCCCGC
Molecule: non-coding RNA, 21 nt
Filed under: Caenorhabditis elegans
Lineage: Eukaryota; Metazoa; Nematoda; Chromadorea; Rhabditida; Rhabditidae
Source: RNAcentral